Molecule: long non-coding RNA, 969 nt
Filed under: Homo sapiens (human)
Lineage: Eukaryota; Metazoa; Chordata; Mammalia; Primates; Hominidae
Description: long intergenic non-protein coding RNA 305
Source: RNAcentral
ACUUCAGUUCAACAGCCAUCUGAAGCCCACCUGUGAGCUGGUCCAGGAAAUGAUGGACUCUGAUUUCCACACCCCUUUCCUGUGAACUUGUCUCCAAUUUAGUCUGUCAAGGUCCCUUUCUUAUUCCAGGACCACUGAAACCAGCUGAGGCAUCCUGAAAGCCUAAGAUUGACCACACCAGAGGAACCAGACUGCCCUUCACAAGGAAACCUGGCGUGGAAACACAUUGCUUCCCUAACACUUUCCUGAAGGAGCUUGGACGACUUGACUCAGGCAGGUUGAGAGACCAGAAAGCCAUCCAGAGAGAGCAGGGACCCAGCCAUCCACCACCUGGUUCUACUCCCACCCUAAGGAUGGAAAUUAUCUGGUUCCACCCCUGGAUAUGAUCAACCUUCAUAGACUGUGCAUUAUACAUGCCAUCUCUGCGACCUGCAAAGAUGAAAAGGGAAAGCAGGAGAUGGAAACUGGUCAGCAGCCUUCUGGUUUAUCAGCCACACUUACAAAGGUCAAAUGUGCAAAGCGUCAGAAGACAGUGGUUAGAGUGAGAUUCUACAUGCUCUCAAUGAAGAAUAAAGCAUGCAGGAAGAACCUUUCAAAAGGUUACAACCAGAGACCUGAAGGAAGCAAGGAAGAAAGCCACAUGGUUGUCAAAGAGAAGAGGAAAGGAGAUCACUAAGCUGGAUGACGUUUUCUGUUUCUUUGAAAACAGAGAAGAUGACAAGUUAGGGAGAGAUCAGAGGUCAUACUGUGAAGCACCUUUGGAUAAACGGCAGGGACUUUGGAUUUUCUUUUUGAAUAUAAGCAUAAUCCAUUGAAAGGUCUCAUGCAGGGAAGUGGCAAAACACUUUUAAAAUUUUUCAUCUUUUCUUUCUGAAGCAGAGUUCACUCUCCAUUUAUUUGUCUUCUUUGAUAUCUCUCAAUAGAAUGUUGCAGUUUUAGUAUUCUCCUAUUAAACAUUUGUUUAACUUU